Long non-coding RNA from Fukomys damarensis (Damara mole-rat), 435 nucleotides. RefSeq lists it as uncharacterized. The record is from RefSeq and is a predicted model, not a curated record. The transcript is spliced from 3 exons. NCBI's taxonomy places the organism in Eukaryota, Metazoa, Chordata, Mammalia, Rodentia, Bathyergidae.
GUCUGGGAGAUCUAGACACACUGGAGCGCCACAGAUCUCUCUUGACUAUAGCGGCCCCUUUGCCAUUGACUCUCCAUAAGGAAGAAAAGGUCUUGCUUCAGUAGAAAUUGUGGUCUGAAAUAUACUUUCCAUAUUUUGAACACCUUCUGAUGCUGCUGGGUUCACUGGACAGGCGGGUUAGAGAAGAGACAUCAGAACACUGCACAGCAUAAUUCUUUCAUCUUUUAAUAGGAAAACUGCCACCAUCUGGAAAGUUAAUGUCACAGCGCUGUGGCCUAUCCAGAAUUAUUUCACCUGCUCCCACACUGACCAGAGAAAUAGGCCACAGGCUACAUUUGGUCCAUAUCCUAUGGUUUGCUAAACAUCCCUGUAAUGAUGGACGGCCGGAACAUAGAUGCAUUUGGGAAAUUAGUCUAAAAGAAUUAAAGAAAGUAA